Molecule: ribosomal RNA, 491 nt
Filed under: uncultured bacterium
Lineage: Bacteria
Description: partial 16S ribosomal RNA
Rfam family: Bacterial small subunit ribosomal RNA
Source: RNAcentral
GUGAACGCUGGCGGUAGGCCUAACACAUGCCAGUCGAACGGCAGCACAGUAAGAGCUUGCUCUUACGGGUGGCGAGUGGCGGACGGGUGAGGAAUACAUCGGAAUCUACUUUUUCGUGGGGGAUAACGUAGGGAAACUUACGCUAAUACCGCAUACGACCUACGGGUGAAAGCAGGGGAUCUUCGGACCUUGCGCGAUUGAAUGAGCCGAUGUCGGAUUAGCUAGUUGGCGGGGUAAAGGCCCACCAAGGCGACGAUCCGUAGCUGGUCUGAGAGGAUGAUCAGCCACACUGGAACUGAGACGCGGUCCAGACUCCUACGGGAGGCAGCAGUGGGGAAUAUUGGACAAUGGGCGCAAGCCUGAUCCAGCCAUACCGCGUGGGUGAAGAAGGCCUUCGGGUUGUAAAGCCCUUUUGUUGGGAAAGAAAAGCAGCAGGUUAAUACCCCGCUGUUCUGACGGUACCCAAAGAAUAAGCACCGGCUAACUUCGUG